RNAcentral lists this ribosomal RNA (253 nucleotides) under uncultured bacterium. Its description in RNAcentral is "partial 16S ribosomal RNA". It matches the Rfam family "Bacterial small subunit ribosomal RNA", at positions 524 to 776 of the family's 1533-position model. The record is from RNAcentral.
UACGAGUGCCCCAAGCGUUAUCCGGAAUUAUUGGGCGUAAAGGGUCCGCAGGCGGCUCUAUUAGUCUUAUGUGAAAUCUCCCGGCUUAACUGGGAAAACGCAUAGGAAACGGUAGAGCUAGAGGAUGUGAGAGGGAUGUGGAACUCAUGGUGUAGGGGUGAAAUCCGUUGAUAUCAUGGGGAACACCAAAUGCGAAGGCAGCAUACUGGCACAUUCCUGACGCUCAGGGACGAGAGCACGGGUAGCGAAUGGG